UCCUGGUUUCCCAGGCGGUCCCAUCAGAGUGCUGAAGCUAUGCAACGAGCAACUGAUGGCAAGGGUUGCGCUCGUUAGAGGACUUAACCCAACAUCUCACGACACGAGCUGACGACAGCCAUGCAGCACCUGUGAAUCUGUCCGAACCGAAGCUCGGAAAGCUAUAUUUCUAUAGCGGUCAGAAACAUGUCAAGCCUAGGUAAGGUUCUUCGCGUAGUGUCGAAUUAAACCACAUGUUCCACCGCUUGUGCGAACCCCCGUCAAUUCCUUUGAGUUUUAAUCUUGCGACCGUAAUCCCCAGGCGAAUCACUUAACGCGUUAGCUUCGACACCAAUCUAGCAGAGCCAGACUGACGUCUAGUGAUUAUCGUUUACAGCGUGGACUAC
RNAcentral lists this unclassified non-coding RNA (386 nucleotides) under uncultured bacterium. Its description in RNAcentral is "contains 16S-23S intergenic spacer region". The record is from RNAcentral.